AGUGAACGCUGGCGGUAGGCCUAACACAUGCAAGUCGAACGGCAGCACAGUAAGAGCUUGCUCUUACGGGUUGCGAGUGGCGGACGGGUGAGGAAUACAUCGGAAUCUACUUUUUCGUGGGGGAUAACGUAGGGAAACUUACGCUAAUACCGCAUACGACCUACGUGUGAAAGCAGGGGAUCUUCGGACCUUGCGCGAUUGAAUGAGCCGAUGUCGGAUUAGCUAGUUGGCGGGGUAAAGGCCCACCAAGGCGACGAUCCGUAGCUGGUCUGAGAGGAUGAUCAGCCACACUGGAACUGAGACACGGUCCAGACUCCUACGGGAGGCAGCAGUGGGGAAUAUUGGACAAUGGGCGCAAGCCUGAUCCAGCCAUACCGCGUGGGUGAAGAAGGCCUUCGGGUUGUAAAGCCCUUUUGUUGGGAAAGAAAAGCAGCAGGUUAAUACCCCGAUGUUCUGACGGUACCAAAAGAAUAAGCACCGGCUAACUUCGUG
RNAcentral lists this ribosomal RNA (492 nucleotides) under uncultured bacterium. RNAcentral's name for it is "partial 16S ribosomal RNA". It matches the Rfam family "Bacterial small subunit ribosomal RNA", at positions 29 to 507 of the family's 1533-position model. The record is from RNAcentral.